GUGAGUAUAGUCGAGUGGUUACGAUAGUGGUUUGUGGUGCCAUUGACGCGGGUUCGAAUCCCGUUACUCACC
Molecule: transfer RNA, 72 nt
Filed under: Trentepohlia odorata
Lineage: Eukaryota; Viridiplantae; Chlorophyta; Ulvophyceae; Trentepohliales; Trentepohliaceae
Description: tRNA-His
Rfam family: tRNA
About the family: Transfer RNA (tRNA) molecules are approximately 80 nucleotides in length. Their secondary structure includes four short double-helical elements and three loops (D, anti-codon, and T loops).
Source: RNAcentral